GACGAACGCUGGCGGCGCGCUUAACACAUGCAAGUCGAACGGAAAGGCCUGCUUUCCCUUGUGGAUUGCGGGUACUCGAGUUGCGAACGGGUGAGUAACACUUGAGUGAUCUUCCCCCAACUUUGGUAUAAGCCUGGGAAACUGGGUCUAAUUCCCGAUAGGACUGCAGGGUGGUUCCUGUGGUGGAAAACGAUUUUCUAGUGGUUGGGGAUGAGCUCGCGGCCUAUCAGCUUGUUGGUGGGGUAAUGGCCUACCAAGGCGGCGACGGGUAGCCGGCCUGAGAGGGUGGACGGGCACAUGGGGACUGAGAUACGGGCAAGAAUCCUACGGGAGGCAGCAGUGGGGAAUAAUGAACAAUGGGCGGAAGCCUGAUGCAGCGACGCCGCGUGGGGGAUGACGGCCUUCGGGUUGUAAACUCCUUUCGACCGCGAGGAAGCCACAUGGUUGGAAGGGUGGUGACGGUAGUGGUAGAAGAAGCACCGGCUAACUACGUG
This 494-nucleotide ribosomal RNA is filed under the name uncultured bacterium. Its description in RNAcentral is "partial 16S ribosomal RNA". It matches the Rfam family "Bacterial small subunit ribosomal RNA", at positions 28 to 507 of the family's 1533-position model. The record is from RNAcentral.